RNAcentral lists this ribosomal RNA (763 nucleotides) under uncultured bacterium. RNAcentral's name for it is "bacterial SSU rRNA". It matches the Rfam family "Bacterial small subunit ribosomal RNA", at positions 635 to 1399 of the family's 1533-position model. The record is from RNAcentral.
UUUCAGCUAGAGUUUGAUAGAGGAAAGCAGAAUUUCUAGUGUAGAGGUGAAAUUCGUAGAUAUUAGAAAGAAUACCAAUUGCGAAGGCAGCUUUCUGGAUCAUUACUGACACUGAGGAACGAAAGCAUGGGUAGCGAAGAGGAUUAGAUACCCUCGUAGUCCAUGCCGUAAACGAUGUGUGUUAGACGUUGGAAAUUUAUUUUCAGUGUCGCAGCGAAAGCAAUAAACACACCGCCUGGGGAGUACGACCGCAAGGUUAAAACUCAAAUGAAUUGACGGGGACCCGCACAAGUAGUGGAGCAUGUGGUUUAAUUCGAAGAUACGCGCAGAACCUUACCAACACCUGACAUGUUCGUCGCGACUUUAAGAGAUUAAAGUUUUCGGUUCGGCCGGACGAAACACAGGUGCUGCAUGGCUGUCGUCAGCUCGUGUCGUGAGAUGUUGGGUUAAGUCCCGCAACGAGCGCAACCCUCACUUUUAGUUGCCAUCAUUUAGUUGGGCACUCUGAAAGAACUGCCAGUGAUAAGCUGGAGGAAGGUGGGGAUGACGUCAAGUCCUCAUGGCCCUUACGUGUUGGGCUACACACGUGCUACAAUGGUAUUUACAACAGGAAGCAAGACGGCGACGUUAAGCAAAUCCUCAAAAAAUACCUCAGUUCGGAUUGCACUCUGCAACUCGAGUGCAUGAAGCUGGAAUUACUAGUAAUCGUGGAUCAGCGUGCCACGGUGAAUGCGUUCCCGGGUCUUGUACACACCGCCCGUCA